Molecule: ribosomal RNA, 497 nt
Filed under: uncultured bacterium
Lineage: Bacteria
Description: partial 16S ribosomal RNA
Rfam family: Bacterial small subunit ribosomal RNA
Source: RNAcentral
GAUGAACGCUGGCGGCGUGCCUAAUACAUGCAAGUCGAGCGAACAGACGAGGAGCUUGCUCCUCUGACGUUAGCGGCGGACGUGUGAGUAACACGUGGAUAACCUACCUAUAAGACUGGGAUAACUUCGGGAAACCGGAGCUAAUACCGGAUAAUAUAUUGAACCGCAUGGUUCAAUAGUGAAAGACGGUUUUGCUGUCACUUCUAGAUGGAUCCGCGCCGCAUUAGCUAGUUGGUACGGUAACGGCUUACCAAGGCAACGAUGCGUAGCCGACCUGAGAGGGUGAUCGGCCACACUGGAACUGAGACACGGUCAAGACUCCUACGGGAGGCAGCAGUAGGGAAUCUGACGCAAUGGGCGAAAGCCUGACGGAGCAACGCCGCGUGAGUGAUGAAGGUCUUCGGAUCGUAAAACUCUGUUAUUAGGGAAGAACAAAUGUGUAAGUAACUAUGCACGUCUUGACGGUACCUAAUCAGAAAGCAACGGCUAACUACGUG